GGACAGGUGGCCGAGUGGUUGAAGGCGCACGCCUGGAACGCGUGUAUAUGUUAAAAGCGUAUCGAGGGUUCGAAUCCCUCUCUGUCCGCCA
Molecule: transfer RNA, 91 nt
Filed under: Candidatus Liberibacter ctenarytainae
Lineage: Bacteria; Pseudomonadati; Pseudomonadota; Alphaproteobacteria; Hyphomicrobiales; Rhizobiaceae
Description: tRNA-Ser
Rfam family: tRNA
About the family: Transfer RNA (tRNA) molecules are approximately 80 nucleotides in length.
Source: RNAcentral